CACGCACUCAAGUUUGUCACAUACAUCAUCGACGCCGGCGGACGCGCCGAACUUCCUGCCCUGGGACAGCCACAAUCGCGCUUCACUUCAGCUCAGGAAGCGGUGCAAAAAGCACUGGACGGCGAAAUGAUCGUGACACGUCAGAUUAACGCGCUGGUCGACUUGGUCGUUAAAGAGCCGGAUCAUAUCACGCACAAUUUCCUGCAGUGGUUUGUUACGGAGCAGCUCGAAGAAGUUUCCAGCACCGAAACGUUGCUGCGCAUCGUGCAGCGCGCCGGCGAAGGCGGCUUGCUGCAUGUGGAAGAUUAUCUGGCGCGCGGCGGCCUGCAAGAGAAACAGAAGGCGCUGACGCCCGGCGAUUGAUGCGCGCAAAAAUCCCCGGGCGUCC
RNAcentral lists this unclassified non-coding RNA (388 nucleotides) under plant metagenome. RNAcentral describes it as "partial contains 5.8S ribosomal RNA, internal transcribed spacer 2, and large subunit ribosomal RNA". The record is from RNAcentral.